AAGUUUGUGUGCAUUUGCAGGAACUUGUGAGUCUCCUAUUGACAAUAAACAGGAGACUGACGAGUUCCCGGGAACACCCACAAAUCU
This is a microRNA precursor of Myotis lucifugus (little brown bat), 87 nucleotides long. Ensembl annotates it as microRNA 873. Lineage: Eukaryota; Metazoa; Chordata; Mammalia; Chiroptera; Vespertilionidae. The record is from Ensembl.